RNAcentral lists this ribosomal RNA (443 nucleotides) under uncultured bacterium. RNAcentral describes it as "partial 16S ribosomal RNA". It matches the Rfam family "Bacterial small subunit ribosomal RNA", at positions 338 to 795 of the family's 1533-position model. The record is from RNAcentral.
CCUACGGGAGGCAGCAGUGGGGAAUAUUGCACAAUGGGCGAAAGCCUGAUGCAGCAACGCCGCGUGAAGGAAGACGGUUUUCGGAUUGUAAACUUCUAUCAAUAGGGAAGAAAGAAAUGACGGUACCGAAAUAAGAAGCCGCGGCUAACUACGAGCCAGCAGCCGCGGUAAUACGUAGGGGGCAAGCGUUAUCCGGAAUUACUGGGUGUAAAGGGAGAGUAGGCGGCAAGGUAAGCGAUAGGGGAAAGCCUUAGGCUUAACCAAAGGAUUGCAUAACGAACUAUCUAGCUAGAGUACCGGAGAGGCAAGCGGAAUUCCUAGUGUAGCGGUGAAAUGCGUCGAUAUUAGGCAGAACCCCAGUGGCGAAGGCGGCUUUCUGGACUGAAACUGACGCUGAGGCUCGAAAGCGUGGGGAGCGAACAGGAUUAGAUACCCGGGUAGUC